RNAcentral lists this ribosomal RNA (501 nucleotides) under uncultured bacterium. RNAcentral describes it as "bacterial SSU rRNA". It matches the Rfam family "Bacterial small subunit ribosomal RNA", at positions 903 to 1397 of the family's 1533-position model. The record is from RNAcentral.
AAAUGAAUAGACGGGGACCCGCACAAGCAGCGGAGCAUGUGGUUUAAUUCGAAGCAACGCGAAGAACCUUACCAAGACUUGACAUUCUUAUGCAUAGUAUGGAAACAUAUGAAAUGUAUAGCUUGCUAUACACAUUUGAACAGAUGGUGCAUGGUUGUCGUCAGCUCGUGUCGUGAGAUGUUGGGUUAAGUCCCGCAACGAGCGCAACCCUCUUUUUUAGUUGCCAUCAUUAAGUUGGGCACUCUAGAAAUACUGCCGUAGGUAAUACGGAGGAAGGUGGGGAUGACGUCAAAUCAUCAUGCCUCUUACGUCUUGGGCUACACACGUGCUACAAUGGGUGGUACAAAGAGAUGCAAUACAGUAAUGUGGAGCCAAACUCAAAAAACCAUCCUCAAUUCAGAUUGUGGGCUGCAACCCGCCCAUAUGAAGUCGGAGUUGCUAGUAAUCCCGGAUCAGCACGCCGGGGUGAAUGCGUUCUCGGGUCUUGUACACACCGCCCGU